AGUAUAUAUGUUCCAGACCGUAUGAGUAUUUGGACCGUACGCGUACGGUCUGGACCGUAUGCGUACUUUUUCGAAAUACUCAUACGGUCGGACCGUACGCGUACGGUCUGACUAAUAUCAAGGAGUUGGUCAAUUGUACUAGAUACAAAUACAUAUAACAGAUCAACAUAACUUAACUCUCAAAUAAAUAGAAAAAAAAUCAAUUGUAAUUGAAAUAAAAACUUUACAAUUUAACUAUUUAAAAAAUUCACGCUAAUUAAAUCUGUAAAUCUCUAGUAUUUAGCAUGUAGAUCAGUCAUACAUAAUACACUAAUUGAAUUAUGACAAUUAUUCUCACUGAAAUUGAAUGCGAAUAAUGUGGGAGGACAAUUGCUUUAGAAUAUUUAGCAACUUUAAAAAAAAAAUGCUAAUCGAAAGGAACAUGCAUGAACUGAAAAAAUGUAAAUAUGAAAAAUAUACUUUUGGUAGCGAGUGUCACCUUUGACGAGAGUUUCAAAAUAGGAUUCAGAUAUACAAUUAAACAAAUAUCUAAUUUAAAUUGUUAGGUAGUUCAUUUUAUCCAUCUUAUGUAAUAAUAACAAUUUGUAAAACUAAAAAUAAAGAUUGUGAUAAAUGUUUGUAUAGAUGUAUCCAAUAACAUGUAUGGUCAGCUCAUACUGGACCAUACGCGUAUACUCAUACGGUCCGACCGUACGCGUAUGGUCGGACCGUACGAGUAUACGUAUACGGUCUGGACCGUACGCGUACGGUCCAAAUACUCAUACGGUCUGGAACAUAUAUAUA
Molecule: long non-coding RNA, 783 nt
Filed under: Mytilus galloprovincialis (Mediterranean mussel)
Lineage: Eukaryota; Metazoa; Mollusca; Bivalvia; Mytilida; Mytilidae
Source: RNAcentral